UGCAUCGGCCGGGAAUCGAACCCGGGCCGCCCGCAUGGCAGGCGAGAAUUCUACCAGUGAACCACACUGAUGC
Non-coding RNA from Cordylochernes scorpioides, 73 nucleotides. NCBI's taxonomy places the organism in Eukaryota, Metazoa, Arthropoda, Arachnida, Pseudoscorpiones, Chernetidae. The record is from the annotation of a GenBank genome assembly.